RNAcentral lists this transfer RNA (74 nucleotides) under Perkinsus olseni. It matches the Rfam family "tRNA". Rfam says of the family: Transfer RNA (tRNA) molecules are approximately 80 nucleotides in length. Lineage: Eukaryota; Perkinsozoa; Perkinsida; Perkinsidae. The record is from Rfam by way of RNAcentral.
GCUCUGGUGGCUCAAUCGGAUAGAGCGUUGGACUUCUAAUCCAAAGGUUGCGGGUUCAAGUCCCACCCAGAGUA